This 497-nucleotide ribosomal RNA is filed under the name uncultured bacterium. RNAcentral's name for it is "partial 16S ribosomal RNA". It matches the Rfam family "Bacterial small subunit ribosomal RNA", at positions 28 to 507 of the family's 1533-position model. The record is from RNAcentral.
GAUGAACGCUGGCGGCGUGCCUAAUACAUGCAAGUCGAGCGAACAGACGAGGAGCUUGCUCCUCUGACGUUAGCGGCGGACGUGUGAGUAACACGUGGAUAACCUACCUAUAAGACUGGGAUAACUUCGGGAAACCGGAGCUGAUACCGGGUAAUAUAUUGAACCGCAUGGUUCAAUAGUAAAAGACGGUUUUGAUGUCACUUAUAGAUGGAUCCGCGCCGCAUUAGCUAGUUGUGAAGGUAACGGUUUACAAAGGCAACGAUGCGUAGCCGACCUGAGAGGGUGAGAGGCGACACUGGAACUGAGACACGGUCCAGACUCCUACGGGAGGCAGCAGGCGCGGAUCUUCCGCAAUGGGCGAAAUCCUGACGGAUCAACGCCGCGUGAGUGAUGAAGGUCUUCGGAUCGUAAAACUCUGUUAUUAGGGAAGAACAAAUGUGUAAGUAACUAUGCACGUCUUGACGGUACUUAAUCAGAAAGCCACGGCUAACUACGUG